This is a long non-coding RNA of Lemur catta (Ring-tailed lemur), 131 nucleotides long. RefSeq lists it as uncharacterized. NCBI's taxonomy places the organism in Eukaryota, Metazoa, Chordata, Mammalia, Primates, Lemuridae. The record is from RefSeq and is a predicted model, not a curated record. The transcript has 3 exons.
AAAAGUUUAAAGACAUGCAACCUUUUAGAAGAUUUGGAAGGUUGCACAUGACAGAUCUGGAAGAGAAGAUAAGGGAAAAGGUUUUUCAACAGAAGAAGUGGAAAAUUCAGUUGCAUCUGUUCAGAAAUUAU